GAUGAACGCUAGCGGCAGGCCUAAUACAUGCAAGUCGAACGCUCAGUAGCAAUACUGGGAGUGGCGCACGGGUGCGUAACGCGUACACAAUCUACCUCUAAGCGGGGGACACCUCCUGGAACGGGGAUUAAUACCGCAUAAUAUGCCGAGGUCGCAUGACUUUGGUAUUAAAGCAGCAAUGCACUUAGAGAUGAGUGUGCGUCCCAUUAGGUAGUUGGUGAGGUAACGGCUCACCAAGCCUAUGAUGGGUAGCCGGUCUGAGAGGAUGGGUCGGCCACACGGGCACUGAGACACGGGCCCGACUCCUACGGGAGGCAGCAGUAAGGAUAUUGGGUCAAAUGGUGGAAACACUGACCAGCCAUGCCGCGU
This 369-nucleotide ribosomal RNA is filed under the name uncultured bacterium. Its description in RNAcentral is "bacterial SSU rRNA". It matches the Rfam family "Bacterial small subunit ribosomal RNA", at positions 28 to 402 of the family's 1533-position model. The record is from RNAcentral.